GAUAUUCGUUUAAAUAACUAGGCAAAUUAUUGUGAAUUUCAAUUUAAGUACAAAAAUAUAAUAUAUUUCAAACUACUACCCACCUAAAUCACCAUAUAGUAUAUGAUAUCUCGAUUAAACGCCUAACAACAUUGAAUGUAAUUGUAAUAAAAACAAAAUAUUCAGUUUUUUUUAAUAUUUCAAUUUUUACUGUUCUUUUCUCUGACAACCGAUCAACAUAAAAGGAUAAGCGUUAUUCACCUAAACGCACUCUCGGGUAUUGUAUUCCGAAACAAAGUAUCGUGGCGGGAGCAAUAUGCCAUAAUUGGGACAAGAAGAAGAGCGAUAAAAGAGGAAAAAUAAUUUUAGAGGAAUACACUCGCGACUGUAGAAAACGAUACUGAAAGCAAAUCAACCGGAUAUACUAUAAGGUGUACUUUGUAUUAUGCAUGGUAUAAUUAUGAUUUAUAUACAGGGUAACUUGCAUUUAACAUAAUGCAGCGAAUUUCUCAAAUAAUUUUAA
Molecule: non-coding RNA, 502 nt
Organism: Cinara cedri
Lineage: Eukaryota; Metazoa; Arthropoda; Insecta; Hemiptera; Aphididae
Source: the annotation of a GenBank genome assembly